CGGGUGAGUAAUGCGUGACCAACCUGCCCCAUGCUCCAGAAUAGCUCUUGGAAACGGGUGGUAAUGCUGGAUGCUCCAACUUGACGCAUGUCUUGUUGGGAAAGUGUUUAGUGGCAUGGGAUGGGGUCGCGUCCUAUCAGCUUGUAGGCGGGGUAAUGGCCCACCUAGGCUUCGACGGGUAGCCGGCCUGAGAGGGCGGACGGCCACAUUGGAACUGAGAUACGGCCCAGACUCCUACGGGAGGCAGCAGUG
RNAcentral lists this ribosomal RNA (252 nucleotides) under uncultured Gardnerella sp. Its description in RNAcentral is "partial 16S ribosomal RNA". It matches the Rfam family "Bacterial small subunit ribosomal RNA", at positions 103 to 356 of the family's 1533-position model. The record is from RNAcentral. Lineage: Bacteria; Bacillati; Actinomycetota; Actinomycetes; Bifidobacteriales; Bifidobacteriaceae.